This 349-nucleotide ribosomal RNA is filed under the name uncultured bacterium. RNAcentral describes it as "partial 16S ribosomal RNA". It matches the Rfam family "Bacterial small subunit ribosomal RNA", at positions 338 to 701 of the family's 1533-position model. The record is from RNAcentral.
CCUACGGGAGGCAGCAGGGGGGAAUAGUGGGCAAUGGAGGCAACUCUGACCCAGCAACGCCGCGUGAGUGAUGAAGGUCGUCGGAUUGUAAAACUCUGUAAGUGGGGACGAAGAAAGUGACGGUACCCACAGAAUAAGCAUCGGCUAACUACGUGCCAGCAGCCGCGGUAAGACGUAGGAGGCAAGCGUUAUCCGGAAUGACUGGGCGGAAAGGGUGCGGAGGUGGGACGGCAAGUUAGUAGCGUAAUUCCGGGGCGCAACCUCGGAACUACUACUAAAACUGUUGGGCUUGAGUGCAGGUGCGGCAUCUGGAAUUCCUAGUGUAGCGGUGUCCUGCGUAGCUCUUAGG